GUUUGCGUGUGUAACAUAGCGCUCAACACCAGGGACAGGUUUGUGUGUGUGUGUGUGGAUGGUGUUCAGCACCAAGGACAGGUUUGUUUGUAA
RNAcentral lists this microRNA precursor (93 nucleotides) under Branchiostoma floridae (Florida lancelet). RNAcentral's name for it is "mir-2060 microRNA precursor family". It matches the Rfam family "mir-2060 microRNA precursor family". The record is from Rfam by way of RNAcentral. Lineage: Eukaryota; Metazoa; Chordata; Leptocardii; Amphioxiformes; Branchiostomatidae.